AACCUCCGCAAUGUGAGAAAUCGCGACGGGGGGAUCCCAAGUGCCAUUCUUAACGGGAUGGCUUUUCAUUAGUGUAAAGAGCUUUUGGAAUAAGAGCUGGGCAAGACCGGUGCCAGCCGCCGCGGUAACACCGGCAGCUCUAGUGGUAACAAUUUUUAUUGGGCCUAAAGCGUCCGUAGCCGGUUUAAUAAGUCUCUGGUGAAAUCCUGUAGCUUAACUAUGGGAAUUGCUGGAGAUACUAUUAGACUUGAGACCGGGAGAGGUUAGAGGUACUCCCAGGGUAGAGGUGAAAUUCUGUAAUCCUGGGAGGACCGCCUGUUGCGAAGGCGUCUAACUGGAACGGUUCUGACGGUGAGGGACGAAAGUUAGGGGCGCGAACCGGAUUAGAUACCCGGGUAGUCCUAACUGUAAACGAUGCGGACUUGGUGUUGGGGUGGCUUUGAGCUGCUCCAGUGCCGAAGGGAAGCUGUUAAGUCCGCCGCCUGGGAGUGCGGUCGCAAGACUAAAACUUAAAGGAAGU
Molecule: ribosomal RNA, 520 nt
Filed under: uncultured bacterium
Lineage: Bacteria
Description: bacterial SSU rRNA
Rfam family: Archaeal small subunit ribosomal RNA
Source: RNAcentral